UACGGAGGGAGCUAGCGUUGUUCGGAAUUACUGGGCGUAAAGCGCACGUAGGCGGCUUUCUAAGUCAGGGGUGAAAUCCUGGAGCUCAACUCCAGAACUGCCUUUGAUACUGGAGAGCUUGAGUCCGGAAGAGGUGAGUGGAACUCCGAGCGUAGAGGUGAAAUUCGUAGAUAUUCGGAAGAACACCAGUGGCGAAGGCGGCUCACUGGUCCGGUACUGACGCUGAGGUGCGAAAGCGUGGGGAGCAAACAGG
Molecule: ribosomal RNA, 253 nt
Filed under: uncultured bacterium
Lineage: Bacteria
Description: partial 16S ribosomal RNA
Rfam family: Bacterial small subunit ribosomal RNA
Source: RNAcentral